UAGUCCUUUUUGAAUGAACGAAAAGGAAUAGCCAUUUGGAAGCGUUUCCAGCAGUCAUUUAGGACAUUCAAAGAAGACUCAAGUGCCAGUCUUGUUUCCAAGUCUUUGUGAUUCUUGGACCCACACAUGUGCUACAAGAGUUAUGCUUCAUCGUUUCUUAAUCAUAGCAAUUUCGUCGACCAGGUCAAUGAGGGACCUUGGUGGAAAAAGUCUGAGGUGGUGAUACUUCCACCAGUUGUUUGAACUUUGGAGGUUUGAACAUUCAAAGAAGACUCAAGUGCCAGACUUGUUUCCAAGUCUUUGUGAUUCUUGAACCCAUACAAGUCUUUGUGAAUCUAAUAAGCUAGUCCUUUUUAAAUGAACAAAAAGGACAAGCCAUUUGGAAGCUUUUCCAGGAGUCGUUUAGAACAUUCAAAGAAGACUCGAGUGCCAGGCUUGUUUCCAAGUCAUUGUGAUUCUUGGACCCACACAUGUGCUACAAGAGUCAUGCUUCAUCGUUUCUUAAUCAAAGCAAUUUGUCGAUCAAGUCAAUGAGGGACCUAGGUAGAAAAGGACAGAUGUUGGUUUCUGGCCACUGUGGAAUUACCCAAAUGAAGGAUGCUUGGAACUUGGAAGCUCCAACGAAUAGGCCAGGAAGCUCAUCCAGAAGUUGUUUAGAAUAAUCAAGGUUCAGAACAAUUUCUUUUUUUAUCAAGGUUCAGAACAUUUGAAAGCUAGUAUUCUUUCCAAUAUUAUCUUAUUCAAAGUUCAGAAAUUCUGUCUGGAAAUUUCCUACCUUGUUUAACUUCAGCAAUUACAUAAUGUGACUCUCUUUGUCUUUUCCUCUCAAGGUGAUGACUACUAAAACGUACACUAGGGUUUUGACUCGAGGACUUGUUGAAUUUUCCAUUCCAAAGGUGCCUUUCUUCAUAUUCUUUUGGCCUACAUUAGAUUUUAAUACUGCGGCAACAAGUUUAUGUCAGGAUAUAUGUUAAGUACACACUGGCUUCUAUUCUGACAUGAUAAAUCGACUGUGUCCAACAAUUUCUCUCUUCAAGAACUAUUUCAUUGUGAAAGAAGAAAAACUAUAUUGGACUGAAGCAAAAGAAGAUUUUCAAGCCACAUCUCUUCCAAGAACUUGGCAUUGAGAUAGGUGCACUCCGUUUGCUACAUAUCUACAUCCAUUUCAG
Molecule: long non-coding RNA, 1169 nt
Filed under: Musa acuminata (dwarf banana)
Lineage: Eukaryota; Viridiplantae; Streptophyta; Magnoliopsida; Zingiberales; Musaceae
Description: long non-coding RNA (MACU_LNC000068)
Source: RNAcentral